This 248-nucleotide ribosomal RNA is filed under the name uncultured bacterium. RNAcentral describes it as "partial 16S ribosomal RNA". It matches the Rfam family "Bacterial small subunit ribosomal RNA", at positions 524 to 771 of the family's 1533-position model. The record is from RNAcentral.
UACAGAGGGUGCGAGCGUUGUCCGGAAUCACUGGGCGUAAAGGGCGCGUAGGUGGCCCGACAAGUCAGUGGUGAAAGCUCGACGCUCAACGUCGAGUCGGCCACUGAUACUGUUGGGCUGGAGCACUGUAGAGGCAGAUGGAAUUCCGGGUGUAGCGGUGGAAUGCGUAGAGAUCCGGAAGAACACCGGUGGCGAAGGCGGUCUGCUGGGCAGUGCUGGACACUGAGGCGCGACAGCGUGGGGAGCAA